This 421-nucleotide ribosomal RNA is filed under the name uncultured bacterium. RNAcentral describes it as "partial 16S ribosomal RNA". It matches the Rfam family "Bacterial small subunit ribosomal RNA", at positions 355 to 769 of the family's 1533-position model. The record is from RNAcentral.
UGGGGAAUCUUCCGCAAUGGACGAAAGUCUGACGGAGCAACGCCGCGUGAGUGAAGAAGGUUUUCGGAUCGUAAAACUCUGUCUUUUGGGGCGAACGUGAGUAUGGUGAACAAUCAUAGUCAGUGACGGUACCAAAGGAGGAAGCCACGGCUAACUACGUGCCAGCAGCCGCGGUAAUACGUAGGUGGCAAGCGUUGUCCGGAAUUAUUGGGCGUAAAGAGCGCGUAGGCGGGAUAGUCAGUCUGUUGUAAAGUGCGGGCUCAACCCCGUGAUCGCAAUGGAACAGCUAUUCUUGAGUGCAGGAGAGGAAAGGUGGAAUUCCCAGUGUAGCGGUGAAAUGCGUAGAUAUUGGGAGGAACACCAGUGGCGAAGGCGACUUUCUGGACUGUGUCUGACGCUGAGGCGCGAAAGCCAGGGGAGC